AAAUUCUUACACAAAUUGCACCAGGUUAAUAGCAAUCAGCACAGCAAGGAUCUUAAUAGGACAGAAACAGGGGGGGUUCCACCAUGUUCACUAAUAAUCAAUGACUUAAGUUUAAAAUGAUUGCCAAUGUAACACAAAUUCUGCCAACCAAUUACAUCUCAUCGUUCAACUUUAGCAACAGUGUUUCCUACUUACCUAUACAGUCACUAACUUAUCAAUAAUGUUUCAUGUUGUGAUACUAAAAUAUAAUUUCGAGCUAAAAUCCGUACAUUGACAAGAGGCAUACAGCAUUUCAGCUUUUUCAGACAUUUUUAAUAUCACCUGGUGACCUAAACCUGU
This 339-nucleotide unclassified non-coding RNA is filed under the name Hevea brasiliensis (rubber tree). Lineage: Eukaryota; Viridiplantae; Streptophyta; Magnoliopsida; Malpighiales; Euphorbiaceae. The record is from RNAcentral.